RNAcentral lists this ribosomal RNA (1244 nucleotides) under uncultured Acinetobacter sp. Its description in RNAcentral is "bacterial SSU rRNA". It matches the Rfam family "Bacterial small subunit ribosomal RNA", at positions 77 to 1316 of the family's 1533-position model. Lineage: Bacteria; Pseudomonadati; Pseudomonadota; Gammaproteobacteria; Moraxellales; Moraxellaceae. The record is from RNAcentral.
AGCUUGCUACCUGACCUAGCGGCGGACGGGUGAGUAAUGCUUAGGAAUCUGCCUAUUAGUGGGGGACAACAUUCCGAAAGGAAUGCUAAUACCGCAUACGCCCUACGGGGGAAAGCAGGGGAUCUUCGGACCUUGCGCUAAUAGAUGAGCCUAAGUCAGAUUAGCUAGUUGGUGGGGUAAAGGCCUACCAAGGCGACGAUCUGUAGCGGGUCUGAGAGGAUGAUCCGCCACACUGGGACUGAGACACGGCCCAGACUCCUACGGGAGGCAGCAGUGGGGAAUAUUGGACAAUGGGCGAAAGCCUGAUCCAGCCAUGCCGCGUGUGUGAAGAAGGCCUUUUGGUUGUAAAGCACUUUAAGCGAGGAGGAGGCUACUUGGAUUAAUACUCUAGGAUAGUGGACGUUACUCGCAGAAUAAGCACCGGCUAACUCUGUGCCAGCAGCCGCGGUAAUACAGAGGGUGCGAGCGUUAAUCGGAUUUACUGGGCGUAAAGCGUGCGUAGGCGGCUUUUUAAGUCGGAUGUGAAAUCCCUGAGCUUAACUUAGGAAUUGCAUUCGAUACUGGGAAGCUAGAGUAUGGGAGAGGAUGGUAGAAUUCCAGGUGUAGCGGUGAAAUGCGUAGAGAUCUGGAGGAAUACCGAUGGCGAAGGCAGCCAUCUGGCCUAAUACUGACGCUGAGGUACGAAAGCAUGGGGAGCAAACAGGAUUAGAUACCCUGGUAGUCCAUGCCGUAAACGAUGUCUACUAGCCGUUGGGGCCUUUGAGGCUUUAGUGGCGCAGCUAACGCGAUAAGUAGACCGCCUGGGGAGUACGGUCGCAAGACUAAAACUCAAAUGAAUUGACGGGGGCCCGCACAAGCGGUGGAGCAUGUGGUUUAAUUCGAUGCAACGCGAAGAACCUUACCUGGUCUCGACAUAGUAAGAACUUUCCAGAGAUGGAUUGGUGCCUUCGGGAACUUACAUACAGGUGCUGCAUGGCUGUCGUCAGCUCGUGUCGUGAGAUGUUGGGUUAAGUCCCGCAACGAGCGCAACCCUUUUCCUUAUUUGCCAGCGGGUUAAGCCGGGAACUUUAAGGAUACUGCCAGUGACAAACUGGAGGAAGGCGGGGACGACGUCAAGUCAUCAUGGCCCUUACGACCAGGGCUACACACGUGCUACAAUGGUCGGUACAAAGGGUUGCUACCUAGCGAUAGGAUGCUAAUCUCAAAAAGCCGAUCGUAGUCCGGAUUGGAGUCUGCAACUCGAC